Molecule: small nucleolar RNA, 211 nt
Organism: Ipomoea nil (Japanese morning glory)
Lineage: Eukaryota; Viridiplantae; Streptophyta; Magnoliopsida; Solanales; Convolvulaceae
Rfam family: Plant small nucleolar RNA U3
About the family: Small nucleolar RNAs (snoRNAs) are involved in the processing and modification of rRNA in the nucleolus. There are two main classes of snoRNAs: the box C/D class, and the box H/ACA class.
Source: Rfam
ACGACCUUACUUGAACAGGAUCUGUUCUAUAGGCUCGUACCUCUGUAUCCUUGAGUUCUAAGGAGACAGGAAACUAAGCCUGGUGGAUGAACUAUGGCCAAGAGACUAGAGCGUGAUUAACAGCUCCAGACCUUCAUUGGGCUGAGCCGUAGAGGAUUGUUCUCAGCCAUGGGUUCAUGGUUGGGAUGGUCUCUUGGCUGUCUGACAGGCU